GGAAACAGCAGUGGUGCAUAUGCUCAGAGGAAUACUUUCUAAGGAUGCAGCAGUGGGCCCAAGGCUACAGAAGACAUCACAAGAGGCUUCUGCAGAAAACUGUGAUGUACUGAUAGCAGUCUGAUUCUCUGCUGUAAACAUCUAGUAGGCUCAGUUACAUCCAUGGCCCCAGGGCCCUUCAACAAGCACAGUUCUAGAUACAUCUGAAACUUCAGUAGGGAUAUAAACUCCAUCACAGGACAGCAUCUCCCCGUGGCCAUAAUGAACCUGUGAAUCUGACCCAUCAAAGACACUACUGGUUUCAACCUGAAGGUUGAGACUGCAGGAAGACAGGAAUGUGUGGCAGUCCAGUGUCUGCACACCCGACUAGCCAAGAGGCCUCUCUGAGACUACAGCAGCAAUGUGGUCAGUGCAAAGGGAUGUCUCUACAUGACCUUUAACUAGAACUUCAAAAGAAGCUAAAGGAGCAUUCUGAAAACAAACGAGGAGAAAUAUUCCUUCAUUGCUAUUCUUUGAUUGCCCCUCAAGCUCAAAGCCUUCCCUAAUGACUAGACAUUAUGCUAUGGAGGCAGAUUGGAACAAAGGCAGAAAUCACUGUAGAAGAAAGAAGACUUGAUGUUAAAAUGAAGGUUCAUUUUUCAACUGGGAAACAAGAUGAUGCAAGAAGAAUCUGUAAGAGAACACCAGAGAAAUCCUACAAUGCUAUCAACCAAAUAUUAAAGAAAGGAAAUCUAGUGAGAGUCUAGAGAAUAAGAGCUGUAAUCAGUCUCUUUAUUCUCAAAGUGGACAUGAUCAAAAUGCUGUGGAAAUAAGAAUGGUGAUGACUGUCAUGAUAAGGUAGAAUUUGAAUAUUUUAUUGAAAAUUGGAGGAAAGAUUAAUCAUUUUUGUUUAUGAAAAUGGUGGAGAAAUGGCUAAAUUUUGUCUGUUGGUUUCUGGAAUCACAGAUUUAAAAGUGAUAAAGUGUAAUGUUAACAAGAUUAAAGCCCUAAACAGCACAGAGCAUCUAUAUACUUCUCUUGCUUGUAAUAACAUUCAGAAUGAAUCAAAUGAAAUAAAGGAAGAUUGUGUUAGCCAAAUCAAAGCAGAAUCAAAGAUGCGUGUGCUUGCCCCAUAGAAAAAUGAAAAGGUCUGCUUUGGUGAGAAUGCCAAUGGACAGCUGAGAAAACCUUUGAAAGGGAGGCUAAUAUAAUGGAAGAAGUGUACUCUUUAUGAAGAUGACAGAUGAUUAGCGCAAAGGCAUUUUGGAGAUUUCCGAAACUUCCUCUCACAUCACCGAUUUGAGAGGCAUGGCCUUCACAGAAGAAGGUUUCAAGCAAGGGUACCAGGGAAUUAUUUGGACUUCCAGUGUCACUUCCUGCCUUCUGACUCCACUUUCUACAUCCAUUGCUUUUAGUGUUCCUUGACUUCCUCAGAUGUGGCUCUUGCUGUCUUAGGUGCUGUACAAGAUUCUACUUCAGAAAGAAUAGUGUCAAGCCGGGGAGGUAUCAUGUAGUACUGACUAAUACAGACACAGUACACAAACUGGGGAGUUGCCUUAAUGCCAAUUUCUGAAAUUGAAUCAUCACUUCUGUAGAGAAUAAAGCUCAUGUAACUGAAAAAGCUCAGGGAACCCAGGCAAUCAUGACCCACAAGACCACUCUUCAAGGCUAUCUCAGUGGGGAUGCUUGUGGCAGGAAGCUGACAGUCUGAACAGCUAUCUGCAAGUUGUUCAGAGGC
This is a non-coding RNA of Peromyscus maniculatus bairdii (prairie deer mouse), 1717 nucleotides long. The record is from RefSeq and is a predicted model, not a curated record. Lineage: Eukaryota; Metazoa; Chordata; Mammalia; Rodentia; Cricetidae.